Molecule: unclassified non-coding RNA, 305 nt
Filed under: plant metagenome
Description: partial contains 5.8S ribosomal RNA, internal transcribed spacer 2, and large subunit ribosomal RNA
Rfam family: 5.8S ribosomal RNA (bases 1-105)
Source: RNAcentral
GAAAUGCGAUAAGUAGUGUGAAUUGCAGAAUUCAGUGAAUCAUCGAAUCUUUGAACGCACAUUGCGCCCUUUGGUAUUCCUUAGGGCAUGCCUGUUCGAGCGUCAUUUAAACCCUUCAAGCUCAGCUUGGUGUUGGGUGACUGUCCGCCGCCCCCGGGCGUGGACUCGCCCCAAAUCCAUUGGCGGCCGGUACGUAGGCUUCGAGCGCAGCAGAAACGCGAACUCGAGUCCGCGGUGUCGGCUCCCAGAAGCCAUCUCUUUUAUUUUGACCUCGGAUCAGGUAGGGAUACCCGCUGAACUUAAGC